RNAcentral lists this ribosomal RNA (240 nucleotides) under uncultured bacterium. RNAcentral's name for it is "partial 16S ribosomal RNA". It matches the Rfam family "Bacterial small subunit ribosomal RNA", at positions 524 to 776 of the family's 1533-position model. The record is from RNAcentral.
UACGGGGGGGGCUAGUGUUACUCGUAAGAAUUGGGCGUAAAGGGUCCGCAGGUGGUUGAUAAAAGUUGGUUGUUAAAUUUUUAGUGCAACUUAUACUAAUCAACUUGAGUUUAGUAGAGGUCAACGGUACUCUUAGUGUAGGGGUAAAAUCUGUGGAUACUAAUGGGGACCACCAACCGGCGAAGGCGGUUGUCUGGCCUAAACUGACGCUAAGGGACGAAAGCACGGGGAGCAAACAGG